AUUGAACGCUGGCGGCAUGCUUUACACAUGCAAGUCGAACGGCAGCGCGGGCUUCGGCCUGGCGGCGAGUGGCGAACGGGUGAGUAAUACAUCGGAACGUGCCCAGUAGUGGGGGAUAGCUCGGCGAAAGCCGGAUUAAUACCGCAUACGACCUGAGGGUGAAAGCGGGGGAUCUUCGGACCUCGCGCUAUUGGAGCGGCCGAUGGCAGAUUAGCUAGUUGGUGGGGUAAAGGCCUACCAAGGCGACGAUCUUUAGCUGGUCUGAGAGGACGACCAGCCACACUGGGACUGAGACACGGCCCAGACUCCUACGGGAGGCAGCAGUGGGGAAUUUUGGACAAUGGGCGAAAGCCUGAUCCAGCAAUGCCGCGUGUGUGAUGAAGGCCUUCGGGUUGUAAAGCACUUUUGGCGGGAACGAAAAGGACUGUGCCAAUACCACGGUUCGAUGACGGUACCCGCAGAAUAAGCACCGGCUAACUACGUG
RNAcentral lists this ribosomal RNA (484 nucleotides) under uncultured bacterium. RNAcentral describes it as "partial 16S ribosomal RNA". It matches the Rfam family "Bacterial small subunit ribosomal RNA", at positions 29 to 507 of the family's 1533-position model. The record is from RNAcentral.